Molecule: ribosomal RNA, 427 nt
Filed under: uncultured beta proteobacterium
Lineage: Bacteria; Pseudomonadati; Pseudomonadota; Betaproteobacteria
Description: bacterial SSU rRNA
Rfam family: Bacterial small subunit ribosomal RNA
Source: RNAcentral
UGGGGAAUUUUGGACAAUGGGCGAAAGCCUGAUCCAGCCAUGCCGCGUGAGUGAAGAAGGCCUUCGGGUUGUAAAGCUCUUUUAGUCGGAAAGAAAGAGUUGCAAUGAAUAAUUGUGAAUUAUGACGGUACCGACAGAAAAAGCACCGGCUAACUACGUGCCAGCAGCCGCGGUAAUACGUAGGGUGCGAGCGUUAAUCGGAAUUACUGGGCGUAAAGGGUGCGCAGGCGGUCUUGCAAGUCAGAUGUGAAAGCCCCGGGCUUAACCUGGGAAUUGCGUUUGAAACUACAAGACUAGAGUGCAGCAGAGGGGAGUGGAAUUCCAUGUGUAGCAGUGAAAUGCGUAGAGAUGUGGAAGAACACCGAUGGCGAAGGCAGCUCCCUGGGUUGACACUGACGCUCAUGCACGAAAGCGUGGGGAGCAAACA